RNAcentral lists this ribosomal RNA (304 nucleotides) under uncultured bacterium. RNAcentral describes it as "partial 16S ribosomal RNA". It matches the Rfam family "Bacterial small subunit ribosomal RNA", at positions 506 to 809 of the family's 1533-position model. The record is from RNAcentral.
CAGCAGUAGCCGCGGUAAUACAGAGGGUGCGAGCGUUAAUCGGAUUUACUGGGCGUAAAGCGUGCGUAGGCGGCUUCUUAAGUCGGAUGUGAAAUCCCUGAGCUUAACUUAGGAAUUGCAUUCGAUACUGGGAAGCUAGAGUAUGGGAGAGGAUGGUAGAAUUCCAGGUGUAGCGGUGAAAUGCGUAGAGAUCUGGAGGAAUACCGAUGGCGAAGGCAGCCAUCUGGCCUAAUACUGACGCUGAGGUACGAAAGCAUGGGGAGCAAACAGGAUUAGAUACCCCGGUAGUCCCUGUCUCUUAUAA